This 1096-nucleotide ribosomal RNA is filed under the name Bacillus pumilus. Its description in RNAcentral is "bacterial SSU rRNA". It matches the Rfam family "Bacterial small subunit ribosomal RNA", at positions 37 to 1117 of the family's 1533-position model. The record is from RNAcentral. Lineage: Bacteria; Bacillati; Bacillota; Bacilli; Caryophanales; Bacillaceae.
GGGCGGCGUUCUAUACAUGCAAGUCGAGCGGACAGAAGGGAGCUUGCUCCCGGAUGUUAGCGGCGGACGGGUGAGUAACACGUGGGUAACCUGCCUGUAAGACUGGGAUAACUCCGGGAAACCGGAGCUAAUACCGGAUAGUUCCUUGAACCGCAUGGUUCAAGGAUGAAAGACGGUUUCGGCUGUCACUUACAGAUGGACCCGCGGCGCAUUAGCUAGUUGGUGGGGUAAUGGCUCACCAAGGCGACGAUGCGUAGCCGACCUGAGAGGGUGAUCGGCCACACUGGGACUGAGACACGGCCCAGACUCCUACGGGAGGCAGCAGUAGGGAAUCUUCCGCAAUGGACGAAAGUCUGACGGAGCAACGCCGCGUGAGUGAUGAAGGUUUUCGGAUCGUAAAGCUCUGUUGUUAGGGAAGAACAAGUGCGAGAGUAACUGCUCGCACCUUGACGGUACCUAACCAGAAAGCCACGGCUAACUACGUGCCAGCAGCCGCGGUAAUACGUAGGUGGCAAGCGUUGUCCGGAAUUAUUGGGCGUAAAGGGCUCGCAGGCGGUUUCUUAAGUCUGAUGUGAAAGCCCCCGGCUCAACCGGGGAGGGUCAUUGGAAACUGGGAAACUUGAGUGCAGAAGAGGAGAGUGGAAUUCCACGUGUAGCGGUGAAAUGCGUAGAGAUGUGGAGGAACACCAGUGGCGAAGGCGACUCUCUGGUCUGUAACUGACGCUGAGGAGCGAAAGCGUGGGGAGCGAACAGGAUUAGAUACCCUGGUAGUCCACGCCGUAAACGAUGAGUGCUAAGUGUUAGGGGGUUUCCGCCCCUUAGUGCUGCAGCUAACGCAUUAAGCACUCCGCCUGGGGAGUACGGUCGCAAGACUGAAACUCAAAGGAAUUGACGGGGGCCCGCACAAGCGGUGGAGCAUGUGGUUUAAUUCGAAGCAACGCGAAGAACCUUACCAGGUCUUGACAUCCUCUGACAACCCUAGAGAUAGGGCUUUCCCUUCGGGGACAGAGUGACAGGUGGUGCAUGGUUGUCGUCAGCUCGUGUCGUGAGAUGUUGGGUUAAGUCCCGCAACGAGCGCAACCCUUGAUCUUAGUUG